RNAcentral lists this ribosomal RNA (486 nucleotides) under uncultured bacterium. RNAcentral's name for it is "partial 16S ribosomal RNA". It matches the Rfam family "Bacterial small subunit ribosomal RNA", at positions 30 to 507 of the family's 1533-position model. The record is from RNAcentral.
AUUGAACGCUGGCGGCAUGCCUUACACAUGCAAGUCGAACGGCAGCACGGGUGCUUGCACCUGGUGGCGAGUGGCGAACGGGUGAGUAAUACAUCGGAACAUGUCCCGUAGUGGGGGAUAGCCCGGCGAAAGCCGGAUUAAUACCGCAUACGAUCCACGGAUGAAAGCGGGGGACCUUCGGGCCUCGCGCUAUAGGGUUGGCCGAUGGCUGAUUAGCUAGUUGGUGGGGUAAAGGCCUACCAAGGCGACGAUCAGUAGCUGGUCUGAGAGGACGACCAGCCACACUGGGACUGAGACACGGCCCAGACUCCUACGGGAGGCAGCAGUGGGGAAUUUUGGACAAUGGGCGAAAGCCUGAUCCAGCAAUGCCGCGUGUGUGAAGAAGGCCUUCGGGUUGUAAAGCACUUUUGUCCGGAAAGAAAUCCUUGACUCUAAUACAGUCGGGGGAUGACGGUACCGGAAGAAUAAGCACCGGCUAACUACGUG